UAGUCGGGUAAUCGCGAGAGUAUUCGUAAGAACACUUUUGAGGAAAGUCCGUGCAUUCAAGGACAGACUUCCGGAGAAACUCCGGACGGUGUGAGCCGGUGGAUUAGGACCACAGAAAUGUAGACUGCCGAUGGAUUGAAUAAAUCACAGGCGAUGGUGCAACGGUGAGUUAAGAGCUUCACCAGCAAUAACGAGAGUUAUUGGCUAGGCAACCCCAAGUCGAAUGCAAGAUAAACUUGAAGGUUAUAAAGGCUGUCCGCCAACUUCAGACAUAUCGCUCGAGAAUUUGAGUAAUCAAAUUACUAGACAGAUGAUUACCUCUAAACAGAACACGGCUUAUGAGCUACUUU
Molecule: RNase P RNA, 350 nt
Filed under: human gut metagenome
Description: Bacterial RNase P class A
Rfam family: Bacterial RNase P class A
About the family: Ribonuclease P (RNase P) is a ubiquitous endoribonuclease, found in archaea, bacteria and eukarya as well as chloroplasts and mitochondria.
Source: RNAcentral